GGAAUAUUGCGCAAUGGGGGAAACCCUGACGCAGCGACGCCGCGUGGAGGAUGACGCCCUUCGGGGUGUAAACUCCUUUCGCCGGGGACGAAUCGCCACCGCAAGGUGGCCUGACGGUACCCGGAUAAGAAGCCCCGGCUAACUACGUGCCAGCAGCCGCGGUAAUACGUAGGGGGCAAGCGUUGCUCGGAAUUACUGGGCGUAAAGGGUCCGUAGGCGGCGCGGUAAGUCGACGGUGAAAUCUCCCGGCUCAACCGGGAGGGGCCCGCCGAAACUGCCGUGCUCGAGGGCCGGAGGGGCGAGUGGAAUUACCGGUGUAGCGGUGAAAUGCGUAGAUAUCGGUAGGAACACCGGAGGCGAAGGCGGCUCGCUGGACGGCACCUGACGCUGAGGGACGAAAGCUGGGGGAGCAAAC
RNAcentral lists this ribosomal RNA (415 nucleotides) under uncultured bacterium. Its description in RNAcentral is "bacterial SSU rRNA". It matches the Rfam family "Bacterial small subunit ribosomal RNA", at positions 358 to 773 of the family's 1533-position model. The record is from RNAcentral.